GAUGAACGCUGGCGGCGUGCCUAAUACAUGCAAGUCGAGCGAACGGACGAGAAGCUUGCUUCUCUGAUGUUAGCGGCGGACGGGUGAGUAACACGUGGAUAACCUACCUAUAAGACUGGGAUAACUUCGGGAAACCGGAGCUAAUACCGGAUAAUAUUUUGAACCGCAUGGUUCAAAAGUGAAAGACGGUCUUGCUGUCACUUAUAGAUGGAUCCGCGCUGCAUUAGCUAGUUGGUAAGGUAACGGCUUACCAAGGCAACGAUGCAUAGCCGACCUGAGAGGGUGAUCGGCCACACUGGAACUGAGACACGGUCCAGACUCCUACGGGAGGCAGCAGUAGGGAAUCUUCCGCAAUGGGCGAAAGCCUGACGGAGCAACGCCGCGUGAGUGAUGAAGGUCUUCGGAUCGUAAAACUCUGUUAUUAGGGAAGAACAUAUGUGUAAGUAACUGUGCACAUCUUGACGGUACCUAAUCAGAAAGCCACGGCUAACUACGUGCCAGCAGCCGCGGUAAUACGUAGGUGGCAAGCGUUAUCCGGAAUUAUUGGGCGUAAAGCGCGCGUAGGCGGUUUUUUAAGUCUGAUGUGAAAGCCCACGGCUCAACCGUGGAGGGUCAUUGGAAACUGGAAAACUUGAGUGCAGAAGAGGAAAGUGGAAUUCCAUGUGUAGCGGUGAAAUGCGCAGAGAUAUGGAGGAACACCAGUGGCGAAGGCGAUUUUCUGGUCUGUAACUGACGCUGAUGUGCGAAAGCGUGGGGAUCAAACAGGAUUAGAUACCCUGGUAGUCCACGCCGUAAACGAUGAGUGCUAAGUGUUAGGGGGUUUCCGCCCCUUAGUGCUGCAGCUAACGCAUUAAGCACUCCGCCUGGGGAGUACGACCGCAAGGUUGAAACUCAAAGGAAUUGACGGGGACCCGCACAAGCGGUGGAGCAUGUGGUUUAAUUCGAAGCAACGCGAAGAACCUUACCAAAUCUUGACAUCCUUUGACAACUCUAGAGAUAGAGCCUUCCCCUUCGGGGGACAAAGUGACAGGUGGUGCAUGGUUGUCGUCAGCUCGUGUCGUGAGAUGUUGGGUUAAGUCCCGCAACGAGCGCAACCCUUAAGCUUAGUUGCCAUCAUUAAGUUGGGCACUCUAAGUUGACUGCCGGUGACAAACCGGAGGAAGGUGGGGAUGACGUCAAAUCAUCAUGCCCCUUAUGAUUUGGGCUACACACGUGCUACAAUGGACAAUACAAAGGGCAGCGAAACCGCGAGGUCAAGCAAAUCCCAUAAAGUUGUUCUCAGUUCGGAUUGUAGUCUGCAACUCGACUACAUGAAGCUGGAAUCGCUAGUAAUCGUAGAUCAGCAUGCUACGGUGAAUACGUUCCCGGGUCU
Molecule: ribosomal RNA, 1372 nt
Filed under: uncultured bacterium
Lineage: Bacteria
Description: bacterial SSU rRNA
Rfam family: Bacterial small subunit ribosomal RNA
Source: RNAcentral